UACGCAGCUUUAGGGAGGUGCUCUGAGACCCGCAACUACACUCGACUUUAACAGACACAGACGACCCUGAAGAUGGCAAUGUUUUCUUCCAAAUUGUUCUGCACGUUUUUGGCGAGAGCAUGAGGCUGUGCAGCGUCCCCUCCCUGGCGCCCGCCUGUGCCCUGCACAUUGGCCUACACUGCGGUGAUCUCACUUGGCCCCCCCCUGAUUCCCGACAUACAGCAGCGGAAGCUGAGGCUCCGGGGGAACAGCCUCAACUGAUUCUGUCCCUGAACUUCCAUACACAGCCCGGGAGUUGUCUUAGAGUCAUGAUUUAUUUAACUGUUCUUUCAUUUUACAGAACAUAAAAUGUAUUGUUUCCAACUUUUUUCCUAUGGUAAAUAAUGCUAAAGUAAAUAUCUCUGUGCAUGAAACUUUUUGUAUAUGUUGGAAUAUCCUUAAGAUAAGGCCCCAGAACUAAAAGUACCCUGUCAAAGAGUGAGCAUUUCCGGUUCUCCUGCUGUGCUUUGCUGCAACGUUCUCACUCCACAUUCCUGGGGCAGGUAGGGGAGGGCCAGCUGGGUUUGGAUCAUAAUCCUGAAAGACACAAUCCCAAACACCAUAAUCUCGAAUGUUGAAAUCCCUAAAGAUCAAAAUCCCUAAAGUCUAAAAUCUCUGAUAUUUCAGAUGACCACAGUUACAGGGCUGUGUGCACACAAUUAGUAACCAUAGUGAUAUACACGUACACAUUUCUCUUUUGACUUAUUUCUUUAUGGUCUGUCUUCUUAUAACUGCUACACCCAUGCUGCUGUCGUUAGUUUCCUCAGUGUUUAUGCAAAAAUACCUAUGUUAUCAUUGCCUAUUUUAUUGUGUAAAGUGGCCUAUGAAAUGUUCUGUUGUGUUUUUAUGUUUCUCAAAUACAUACCUUUUAAAAAUGUAAAUAAAUAA
RNAcentral lists this long non-coding RNA (927 nucleotides) under Pongo abelii (Sumatran orangutan). Its description in RNAcentral is "lincRNA". Lineage: Eukaryota; Metazoa; Chordata; Mammalia; Primates; Hominidae. The record is from RNAcentral.